Long non-coding RNA from Eucalyptus grandis, 605 nucleotides. RefSeq lists it as uncharacterized. NCBI's taxonomy places the organism in Eukaryota, Viridiplantae, Streptophyta, Magnoliopsida, Myrtales, Myrtaceae. The transcript has 2 exons. The record is from RefSeq and is a predicted model, not a curated record.
CCCAGUCGUGUGCUCGCUCUGUCCUCUUUUUCCUGCAGAGUUGCAAUUGUUUCACCUAUUUCAGCCAUAGCAGGGUCUUCAGACACUGCAUAGGAAGCAUGGGUCGGCAGAUCUAAUAUAAGAAAAGAGUAUAUGCUCAAGAAGCUGAUGUUUCAAAGUGGGCCUUUCAAAAGUGCAUGGAAUGUUGAAGUCGAAGUCGCAUUCUGCGUAGUGAAAGACGGCAUCAUCGCUCUUCAGGACAUGCAUCAGUGAGCCAGCCUUCCUAAUACGGGAAGAAGUGGAUGUGCCAGGGUGAACGGGGUGUUGCAUAACUGAGGGCAAUUCAGCACAUGAUUUAGAAAAGAGCAGUUCUGCUCCAGGCAGGCAUGGGCUAAACCUUUGACAUAUUAAUCACGAGCCUUGCUCGCACCAUCCUUCAUUCGACCCAGCUCCAGCGGCAGCGGAUGAUAGUGAAUGGGAGAUAGAAGAGGCAAUCCAGACAAGCAUAGACCCCACCUAGUAGGCUGCUCUAUUCUCAGCUUUACACCCAGAUUCUGGUUUCAAGCUUCACGUGGAAGGACACCAGUAGAUGCUGAUGGGUGAAAUGGUUAAAAAAAAAAAAAAAA